Molecule: small nucleolar RNA, 221 nt
Organism: Salvator merianae (Argentine black and white tegu)
Lineage: Eukaryota; Metazoa; Chordata; Lepidosauria; Squamata; Teiidae
Source: Ensembl
AAGACUAUACUUUCAGGGAUCAUUUCUAUAGUGUGAAACUAGAGAAGUGGACUCGAAAGUGAUCGGUCGAGCGAACCACGAGGACGAGGCAUAGUGUUCUCUUCUGAGCGCGAAGCGAGUCGUGGGUUUUGCAGUUAUUGCAAUCGCCCAUGGCUAUUGAUGACCGUUCCGCUUCCCUCUUUGUGGGGAAGUUGGAGGGAGAGAACACAGGCUGAGUGGUU